Molecule: ribosomal RNA, 386 nt
Filed under: uncultured bacterium
Lineage: Bacteria
Description: bacterial SSU rRNA
Rfam family: Bacterial small subunit ribosomal RNA
Source: RNAcentral
AUUGAACGCUGGCGGCAUGCCUUACACAUGCAAGUCGAACGGCAGCGCGGGGCAACCUGGCGGCGAGUGGCGAACGGGUGAGUAAUAUAUCGGAACAUACCCUAGAGUGGGGAUAACGUAGCGAAAGUUACGCUAAUACCGCAUACGCACUAAGGUGGAAAGUGGGGGAUCUUCGGACCUCAUGCUCAUGGAGUGGCCGAUAUCUGAUUAGCUAGUUGGUGAGGUAAAGGCUCACCAAGGCGACGAUCAGUAGCGGGUCUGAGAGGAUGAUCCGCCACACUGGGACUGAGACACGGCCCAGACUCCUACGGGAGGCAGCAGUGGGGAAUUUUGGACAAUGGGCGAAAGCCUGAUCCAGCCCAUUCCGCGUGAGUGAAGAAGGCCUU